AUACGUAGGGGGGCGAGCGUUGUCCGGAAUUACUGGGCGUAAAGAGCUCGUAGGUGGUUUGUCGCGUCGUCUGUGAAAUUCCGGGGCUUAACUCCGGGCGUGCAGGCGAUACGGGCAUAACUUGAGUACUGUAGGGGAGACUGGAAUUCCUGGUGUAGCGGUGAAAUGGGAAGAUAUCAGGAGGAACACCGGUGGCGAAGGCGGGUCUCUGGUCAGUAACUGACGCUGAGGAGCAAAAGCAUGGGUAGCGAACAGGAUUAGAUACCCUGGUAGUCCAGGCCGUAAACGGUGGGUGCUAGGUGUAGGGGUCUUCCCCUACUUCGGUGCCGUAGCUAACGCAUUAAGCGCCCCGCCUGGGGAGUACGGCCGCAAGGCUAAAACUCAAAUGAAUUGACGGGG
Molecule: ribosomal RNA, 399 nt
Filed under: uncultured bacterium
Lineage: Bacteria
Description: partial 16S ribosomal RNA
Rfam family: Bacterial small subunit ribosomal RNA
Source: RNAcentral